RNAcentral lists this long non-coding RNA (415 nucleotides) under Buteo japonicus. RNAcentral's name for it is "lncRNA (ENSBJAG00000014350.1)". Lineage: Eukaryota; Metazoa; Chordata; Aves; Accipitriformes; Accipitridae. The record is from RNAcentral.
UUUUGUGAUUCAACAGAAUGGUAUACAAAUAGCAAAAAAAAGGGUGACUGGGUUGGACAAAUUCCAAAAGCUGUACUGAGAAGACAAGACUUUGAUGAUGUCCCAACCCCAUGUCAAUUAGAGAAUUACAGUCCCAAGCAUCCUCAGCCAUUAAGGAGACCAGAUACAGCAACAGACCAUUUUUCUAACCAGCGACCUCAAUAUGAGAAAUUUGGCUAUCCAAGCAAUAAUUUUGCCUUAUGCAGGUUAUGCAGAGGGGAGACAGUAUCAGGUAUGUAUUAAUAACAUACCUAGGUAUAUAUAUUCUAUAAUCAUUUGUCUUCGUACUGAGUACAAAUUAUGAUAAUUCAAAUUGGUAGUAUUUAUGUCACUAAGUAAAGACGUGAGCUAAUAAAAAGCCUAAAACCACGUUUUA